Molecule: long non-coding RNA, 771 nt
Organism: Phyllostomus hastatus (greater spear-nosed bat)
Lineage: Eukaryota; Metazoa; Chordata; Mammalia; Chiroptera; Phyllostomidae
Exons: 3
Source: RefSeq, a predicted model, not a curated record
CCACUCCCCUGGCUCUCAUACCCACACAUGCUCUCCAUCCUCCCUCAGCUCCUUCCAAAGCAGCUCCUAAUUCUGCUGGAAGUCCUAGAGUGUGAGGGCACGGAUGGAGGCUCCUGACACAGGUGAGGGGAUAAAGAGGCCUGUCCCGGCUGCCAAACCCCUCAGGAGGAGGAAGAGAGCCAUCAUGUGCAUCUCUUACUGUGGAGCCCCCAGAAAAACCCUUCACUUGGGGCCUGUCACCUGUCAGCAUGUACUGAUAGGCAUUGUCAGAGAUGGAGAAGAUGUGGGGCGGCGCCUCGCUCCUCUUCUUGCCCCGGUUUCCAAGAUCAAAGCUGCCACCCUUCUCUGAUUUUCCAGGGCUCAGGCACAGAAGCCGGCAAUUGAGAUGCACCGAGUAUACUUGAGGCAUGGCAGAGCCAUUUCAAAGCCAGUAUCUUCACCAUGGGCCAGCCUCCAUGGCCAUGGAGCUGGGAAACCUUUCCUGUGUUUAGUAAAUCAACUGUGCUUUGUUUUCCUCCUGAUGGGCUUGGGGGCACUGGCUACUGGUAUUACAGUAUUACUAUUCUCCACACCCCAUUGCAGAAUAGAACUUGGCUUCCCUGCCUCGAGGCUCUCCGCCUCAGAUCUCCAGUCUGGAGAGAGUGGAGUGUCUGAUGUCCUUAAACAUCCCCACUCAUCCCGCAACCCUCUGGCACCUGCUUUUGGCUCCAUCAUGAUUCUCUUCCUUCUGCUCACUAUUAUAUGAACUGAGAAGCUUUGCUGAUUCCUUCA